AAAUGACUUGAGUUCCUGUAUGUUACCACAAUCACAUGAAACAUACACCUUCACCUCUCUUUUUCCCAGUGAGUUCUUUAUUCCUGUCUGUGCCAUGUACUGAGAACCCAGCUGGCUGUAUGAACGGCGACAGUAUAUCCAGAGACAGUAUGUUGCAGUCCCUGAUGUUGCAGUCCAUGAUUGGAAGGAGAUACUCGCCCUGAGUUUGUCUACUUUAUUGUCCAGGGACAAUAAAUAUAUUGUCUAGCGAGCAAUAUACACGGAAGCGGUGGAUGGUAAGCACGCCUCCUGAGUUGGACUAAAAGUCCAUUCCUAAUACCUACGCCGGGUGGUGUCUUGAAGCAAGCUAUGGGCAACUGAAAGGGCCUUUUUAUUUUUCACUGGGAAACAGGAUGAAGAGUCAAGAACAACAUUCCAGACCAGAAAACAAGUGGCUUUAAGAUGACAGGCCAUCGGGUUAACGGGUGUCGGGCGAAAGAAAACAGUGAUUUAUUGUUUUCUCCAGACAACUGUUCAGCUCGGUUGAAUAGGCUUCAUGAUCAACUGUGCCAAUGUGAAAACUGUGAGGCCGCUGGAGUCUGAGCAGGAAGUCUCCAGAUGGUUUAGCACUUGUCAGAGCGACCCUGUGACCCCAGAUGCUGUCCAGAUACGGGUCAGUGACGGGGUGCAGGCCUCUGUCCGACUGAUUUACGGCCCAUCGUUAAAACCCUCAUUGGAAAGGAGAGGGCCGAACUCUAUACCCCACCUUGCAGAAUGAGCCGAAUGGGCAUGAAAUCACAGAAAGAUUGAAUUCUGGAGUUUAAGAUUUUAUUUUCGGAGUUCCGAAAUUCAGUCUUUUCUUCUGAGGUUGUGCUUGGUCUGUUUUUUAUGAUGUCACCAGUGGUAAACUCAACACAUUAUCCCGAGACAAGUAAUGUCCCGAGGGAUUCUAACUCAAUGUUGAAGGGCAGAGUUUCCAAAAGCUUCCAAAGAGAACAAGAAAACAUUGAUAUGAGUGUGAACAGCAAUUGCCAUGUACUAGCACAGCUCCUGGAAACAACUCAGUACAAACCAUUGACUAGUGGAGAUGGGAUUGACUUUAUGCAGACAUAAAACAUGUGUCACCUUUAUCCUGCAAAGUAUAACCAAAGCAGACUAUAUCCAGUUAUUGUUUAUCCAUCCAGACAUACUGCCGACUCUCCCAAUGAAAACACUCCACUGUGCAGUAAACUGACUAAAUCAAUUGGACUACAUAGCAGAAGUGACCAUUCCGUCUGUCAAGUGAACAAGUGCUGCUGUGUAGAUGCAUAAGGUGCAGUUUCAAGUCGAGUCAGACUCGUUUAAAGACAUGUAACAUAGUUCUGUUUUUCUUUCCUAAUUAACCACCGUGGUUUCAAAAGUCCCCGAGCGGCGAAUAACUGGGCUAAUAGAAAUAAAGUGUGUUUAAUGGCCAA
Molecule: long non-coding RNA, 1433 nt
Organism: Oncorhynchus tshawytscha (Chinook salmon)
Lineage: Eukaryota; Metazoa; Chordata; Actinopteri; Salmoniformes; Salmonidae
Source: Ensembl